RNAcentral lists this transfer RNA (67 nucleotides) under Acetes chinensis (northern mauxia shrimp). Its description in RNAcentral is "tRNA-Ala". RNAcentral also lists the same sequence under 2 other names. Lineage: Eukaryota; Metazoa; Arthropoda; Malacostraca; Decapoda; Sergestidae. The record is from RNAcentral.
GGAGUUAUAUUCAAAAAUGAUAUUUAACUUGCACUUAAAAGGUGCUUCUUUUAAGAAGCUAACUUCA